UGGCGAACGGGUGAGUAAUACGUGAGUAACCUACCUUUAACUCUGGGAUAAGCCUGGAAAACUGGGUCUAAUACCGGAUACGACCAAUCUCCGCAUGGGGUGUUGGUGGAAAGCGUUAUGUAGUGGUUAUAGAUGGGCUCACGGCCUAUCAGCUUGUUGGUGAGGUAACGGCUCACCAAGGCGACGACGGGUAGCCGGCCUGAGAGGGUGACCGGCCACACUGGGACUGAGACACGGCCCAG
This 242-nucleotide ribosomal RNA is filed under the name uncultured bacterium. RNAcentral's name for it is "partial 16S ribosomal RNA". It matches the Rfam family "Bacterial small subunit ribosomal RNA", at positions 96 to 334 of the family's 1533-position model. The record is from RNAcentral.